RNAcentral lists this ribosomal RNA (463 nucleotides) under uncultured bacterium. RNAcentral's name for it is "partial 16S ribosomal RNA". It matches the Rfam family "Bacterial small subunit ribosomal RNA", at positions 28 to 507 of the family's 1533-position model. The record is from RNAcentral.
GAUGAACGCUGACAGAAUGCUUAACACAUGCAAGUCUUUGGCGAAGCUGUGCUUGCACAGCCUAGCCAAGGCGGACGGGUGAGUAACGCGUAAGGAACUUGCCCUGCAGUCAGGGAUAACAGACGGAAACGACUGAUAAGACCUGGUAAAGUCAGGCGGACUCAUGUCCAGCCUGAUGAAAAGAGAUGCUGCAGGAGAGCCUUGCGUCCUAUUAGCUUGUUGGCGGGGUAACGGCCCACCAAGGCGAUGAUAGGUAGCCGGCCUGAGAGGGUGGACGGCCACAAGGGGACUGAGAUACGGCCCUUACUCCUACGGGAGGCAGAAGUGGGGAAUAUUGGACAAUGGGGGCAACCCUGAUCCAGCAAUUCUGUGUGCACGAUGAAGGUUUUCGGAGUGUAAAGGGCUUUCAGCGGGGAAGAAAAAAAUGACGGUACCUGCAGAAGAAGCGACGGCUAAAUACGUG